UGACAGAGAAUAGCUUUCCAACUCCCAAGAGCACAGGGAUCCUAUUCAGGGAAGCUGUCUCAGCUGUUCUUUCUUCCAUGUCAGUGGACUGAAAAAUAUCUUUGUUUUUCCCUUUGCAAUCAAAAACAAAAGCUGGCUUUUGAAGGACUAUUUUAAAAGUAGAAGAGCUUCAGGCUUCUGAAGGUUUAAUCUUCCAAAAAUGUAGUGAUGGCACCUGAAACCUAAUAUUCUGCAAAGAGACACCCUACAGUUUCUCUCUUGCAUCCUUUUAAAAGGUGAAUGAUGACUUGAGAUGAAGGAGAAGUCACUUGCUAUUUUAAAUCGGGGAAAGAUGCAACUUACUUUAUUUAAUUCCGUAACCAUGUGAUCUCUUUGUCUGUCUUAGUACUGAGAAAGAAGUGCUGCUUCUUCACACCAAAAUCCUGUAUAGGCACAGGAACUUCUCACCAGGAUGGAAAGCUUUCCAGGAGCAGGGUGAUUAGGCUACUUCAGGUGCCACCAUGCAGAUGGCAUUCCCAGCAAAUCUGUUCAGAUUCACUGCGUUCUUGUCUGGAAGUGUUAACAGAUGACUGGGAAAGGGGAGGAAGAGGAGAACUAGCAUUACAUUUUUCAGGUCAAGUUCUGCCCUGAAUUCUGCCUGGUCAUCUCUGAGAGGUAUCAUAAGGAAACCAAAGUAAUAUUGCAUAUACCCUCCAGUUAAGACAGCUAUCAGCAACGGCGGCAGCUGAGGGCUGGUGCUCCCUCCAGCAGGCGGGAACUGUCCCCUGAACUGCCGCUGCGAAAUUUCAUCAAGUCCUCUGGCAGUGCCCUUUGCAUUUUACACCUGCUUUCCUACUGCCUUCAAAGGUAACUAAGUGCUAAUAAUGCUAAUGUGUAAAGUCAUAUCUCUGCUGGUGCCAUUAACACCUUUUUAUGUGCAAAAAUGUAGUUAACAUUUCUAUCUAGUACCGCAACAAAAACUCUUUACUGAUCAGGUGGGAAAUUCUCUCAAACUGUACAACGAAGGUUAGGUAAAAUCCCCCAAAUUAGAACCAGA
RNAcentral lists this long non-coding RNA (1036 nucleotides) under Dromaius novaehollandiae (emu). Its description in RNAcentral is "lncRNA (ENSDNVG00000015513.1)". Lineage: Eukaryota; Metazoa; Chordata; Aves; Casuariiformes; Dromaiidae. The record is from RNAcentral.